ACGGGUGAGUAACACGUGGGCAACCUACCUUAUCGACUGGAAUAACUCCUGGAAACCGGGGCUAAUACCGGAUAACAUCUAGCACCUCCUGGUGCAAGAUUAAAAGAGGGCUUCUUGCUCUCACGAUGAGAUGGGCCCGCGGCGCAUUAGCUAGUUGGAGAGGUAAUGGCUCCCCAAGGCGACGAUGCGUAGCCGACCUGAGAGGGUGAUCGGCCACACUGGGACUGAGACACGGCCCAGACUCCUACGGGAGGCAGCAGUAGGGAAUCUUCCGCAAUGGACGAAAGUCUGACGGAGCAACGCCGCGUGAGUGAUGAAGGGUUUCGGCUCGUAAAGCUCUGUUAUGAGGGAAGAACACGUACCGUUCGAAUAGGGCGGUACCUUGACGGUACCUCAUCAGAAAGCCACGGCUAACUACGUGCCAGCAGCCGCGGUAAUACGUAGGUGGCAAGCGUUGUCCGGAAUUAUUGGGCGUAAAGCGCGCGCAGGCGGCCUUUUAAGUCUGAUGUGAAAUCUUGCGGCUCAACCGCAAGCGGCCAUUGGAAACUGGGAGGCUUGAGUACAGAAGAGGAGAGUGGAAUU
Molecule: ribosomal RNA, 582 nt
Filed under: Bacillus sp. HRTK014
Lineage: Bacteria; Bacillati; Bacillota; Bacilli; Caryophanales; Bacillaceae
Description: bacterial SSU rRNA
Rfam family: Bacterial small subunit ribosomal RNA
Source: RNAcentral